Molecule: long non-coding RNA, 150 nt
Organism: Ornithodoros turicata
Lineage: Eukaryota; Metazoa; Arthropoda; Arachnida; Ixodida; Argasidae
Exons: 3
Source: RefSeq, a predicted model, not a curated record
GAACCGUUGCAAGACGUUUGAACGGUCUCCGCGCUCGCUCGUCCAUUUGUGAACAAAGGAGGCCGUGAUUUUGCGUCGUAUGGGCGGCUGCAGUGUUGCGUCCCGUCAGGCCAUGAAAGAAGGAAGGAGGAUAUGAUUUUGCGUCGUAAU